RNAcentral lists this ribosomal RNA (440 nucleotides) under uncultured bacterium. RNAcentral describes it as "partial 16S ribosomal RNA". It matches the Rfam family "Bacterial small subunit ribosomal RNA", at positions 338 to 795 of the family's 1533-position model. The record is from RNAcentral.
CCUACGGGAGGCAGCAGUGGGGAAUAUUGCACAAUGGGGGAAACCCUGAUGCAGCAACGCCGCGUGAGUGAAGAAGUAUUUCGGUAUGUAAAGCUCUAUCAGCAGGGAAGAAGAUGACGGUACCUGACCAAGAAGCCCCGGCUAACUACGUGCCAGCAGCCGCGGUAAUACGUAGGGGGCAAGCGUUAUCCGGAUUUACUGGGUGUAAAGGGAGCGCAGACGGCAGUGCAAGUCUGGAGUGAAAGCCCGGGGCCCAACCCCGGAACUGCUCUGGAAACUGUGCGGCUAGAGUACUGGAGGGGCAGGCGGAAUUCCUAGUGUAGCGGUGAAAUGCGUAGAUAUUAGGAAGAACACCAGUGGCGAAGGCGGCUUUCUGGACUGAAACUGACGCUGAGGCACGAAAGCGUGGGGAGCGAACAGGAUUAGAUACCCCUGUAGUC